GAUGAAGAACGUAGCGAAAUGCGAUACGUAAUGUGAAUUGCAGAAUUCAGUGAAUCAUCGAGUCUUUGAACGCACAUUGCGCCCCCUGGUAUUCCGGGGGGCAUGCCUGUCCGAGCGUCAUUGCUGCCCUCAAGCACGGCUUGUGUGUUGGGCCUCCGUCCUCCUCCCGGGGGACGGGCCCGAAAGGCAGCGGCGGCACCGCGUCCGGUCCUCGAGCGUAUGGGGCUUCGUCACCCGCUCUUUAGGCCCGGCCGGCGCUUGCCGACACAUCAAUCUUUUUUCCAGGUUGACCUCGGAUCAGGUAGGGAUACCCGCUGAACUUAAGCAUAUCAAUAAGCGGAGGA
Molecule: unclassified non-coding RNA, 344 nt
Filed under: soil metagenome
Description: partial contains 5.8S ribosomal RNA, internal transcribed spacer 2, and large subunit ribosomal RNA
Rfam family: 5.8S ribosomal RNA (bases 1-120)
Source: RNAcentral